UUUCCGUAGGUGAACCUGCGGAAGGAUCAUUAUCGAGAACCGGCGCCCUCGUGGUUGCCGACCCUCAAACCACCGUGUACCAAACUUUAGCGUUGCCUCGGCGGGCCGGGCCCUCUUCUGGGGGGCCCCCCCAACCAACGGGAGCCGCUCGCCGCAGGACCACACAAGACUGUUUUCGUACGACGAACGUCUGAUAUCUUUCUUCGCGAAUGCGAUAAAGUACAACUUUUAACAAUGGAUCUCUUGGCUCCGGCAUCGAUGAAGAACGCAGC
RNAcentral lists this unclassified non-coding RNA (272 nucleotides) under uncultured fungus. RNAcentral's name for it is "sequence contains ITS1, 5.8S rRNA gene". The stretch from base 224 to 272 matches the Rfam family "5.8S ribosomal RNA", at positions 1 to 49 of the family's 154-position model. The record is from RNAcentral. Lineage: Eukaryota; Fungi.